UGGGAGAUCGUCUAAUGGUAGGACAGCGGAUUCUGACUCCGCCAAUCUAGGUUCGAGCCCUAGUCUCCCAG
This 71-nucleotide transfer RNA is filed under the name Elstera litoralis. It matches the Rfam family "tRNA". Rfam says of the family: Transfer RNA (tRNA) molecules are approximately 80 nucleotides in length. Their secondary structure includes four short double-helical elements and three loops (D, anti-codon, and T loops). Further hydrogen bonds mediate the characteristic L-shaped molecular structure. tRNAs have two regions of fundamental functional importance: the anti-codon, which is responsible for specific mRNA codon recognition, and the 3' end, to which the tRNAs corresponding amino acid is attached (by aminoacyl-tRNA synthetases). tRNAs cope with the degeneracy of the genetic code in two manners: having more than one tRNA (with a specific anti-codon) for a particular amino acid; and 'wobble' base-pairing, i.e. permitting non-standard base-pairing at the 3rd anti-codon position. Lineage: Bacteria; Pseudomonadati; Pseudomonadota; Alphaproteobacteria; Rhodospirillales; Rhodospirillaceae. The record is from Rfam by way of RNAcentral.